GGGUGGCGCGCGGCAGCAGGGUUGGGCUCUCGCCGUGAGUCGACGAAGGGAGCGCGGGCGCGCGCCCGCGUCCGCGCACUGAGAGUCGCCUCGGCCGCUCGCUUUCUCGACUCCCGCCUCGCGCCUCGAUCCUGUUCCGCCUCCCUCGGCCCUCCUGCCCGCCCCCACUCGUCGGCCCUCAGGUAGGAGGCGGCGCGCCCCGGGGUCGGGAGUGGAAUCGCUGGAGGCUGCGAGUCGCCUGCCCGCCUGUGGGCGCGCCCGUUGGGAGGGGAGCGCCCCCCAGCGGGCGCGGGCGCGAGGGCAGCCGGCGCGCUGGGCGAGCCUGGCUCAGGGUCCCGGCGGCCGGGGUGCAGGGCGCGUGCGCGCGCGGCGGGGCGGGGCCUGCGCGGCUCUGGCGGGCGCACGUGGUGCCCGGGAGCUGCUGGGCGGGCACUCACCGCGGGGACUCGGUGCGGAGCCGGGGCGCCGAGUGUCUCCGUGUCCCUCUGCCCCAGCCGGCGGCCGCGAUGGUGGAGCUUGGCCUCUCGCUCUCUCCCGCCUCUCCAGCGACUGCUCUGCCGGCCGCGGAGGUCGGAUCGAGCGGUCAUUCAUUCAUUUGUUAAUUCGUUCACUUAUUCAGGGGAGAUCAUUGAACCCCUACGGAGUACCGGGUACUGGGCCGGGCGCUGAGGACGCGGGGCUGAGCAAAAGCAGCCGAGGCCCACCUUCGUGCCCCUUAAAACCCAGCGUGCGGGGCGGCAACGAGUACUGCUUUUCUGUUUUGCACUUAAAAUUUACAUUUUGCAUCCGUACUUUUUAUUUACUGUGCACCCUUACGGCAUGCUUUACGCACCCGUACCUGCACCUCCUAGCCUUGAGUGUAGACACCAGAUCCUGAGAUGGGCGAUUUUUCGAGAAUAAUUUUUACCCUAAGUGGAUUUUCGUGCCACGCAUGGACUUGGAACUACACACACGUAGUCCAAAACGUGAAAGUCAAAAUGCAGCUUUGCCAAGUGGCAGGGAGAAAGGAGAGCUGAGAAGAUGAGGAGAGGAAGGGCGCGCUCCAGGCUUUCCAGCCCGGGUGCGGUAGACGUAGCCCUGAAGGAUGAACCCAGGCUGGUAGUAGGGCGGCGGGAGGGCGGGGGGACCUGUCAGUCAAGUCCAAAGCAGAAACGCGGCGCCGGAUCCCAGUCAGAGGCCGGCUGGAACGCUUCCCACAGGCUCCUGGCGCUCCGGUCCCCACCAGGCGACCUUGAUCCUGGCGUGCUCAGCGGAGCCAGCGCAGCGUCGGGAGCUGGAGAGACGCGGGGCGCCGGCUGAGCGCUCCUGCCCUCUGCCUCUGGGCUAGCCUCUGGCCCGGCCUCCCGGCCUCCCCCAGGGUACGCUCUCCCCCAAGAGCGAACACCAGCUUUGGGAUCGCCAGCAGCCACGUCUCUGCUUCUAGAUCUCUUUUUUUUUUCUUUGAGACUUAGUUGAUAGCUGUUUAAGGAAUUAUGUGGAGGAAAUCUCACCUCCGACCCCCGCCCCCGUUGAGCACGGCCGGCCAGGGUCGCUGGGUGGGCCAGGAGGAAAGAAAGGGGCGGGGAAGAAGCAGCAAUUUUACUUUAAAUUAAAAUGACACAAAAAUAUUUUUUCAACUCAGAUCUUUCUGAGACAUCCCCAGAAAGCGUUGCAAGCUGUGAUUACACCUAAUGUGAGAGCAUGAACUAAUUUAAGAGGUGAGAGCUGCAUAAUGAGGCUGCCUCCCGUGUAGCAGCCAAGACUGGCAGCUCUGGCGGCGCGCUGGAGGGGACCGGGAGGGGCACCCUUGUAGAACCAGUCCCUGGCGCCCUGGGAUCUUCUCAGUGCCCUGGCGCUGUGUUGUCGGUCACUCCACAGAUAUUACAGGGUGCCUCCUGAAUGCCGGGUUGCAAUCAAGAGCAAGAGAUGGGGCGAGUGAAAGAGCCUGUUUUCAGGAGCUCAGCAUCAGGAUGACGAUUACCUAGAGGGAGGUGGUGGCCAGCCUCCCCCUCUUCUCUUCAUGCUGAGGCUCUGGUGGGCAGUGCCCAAGCCUGAACUGCCAUCUGUAUGCCAGUGGUUACCCAACUUGUAUUUUCAGUCUUAGCCUCUCUCUGGUCCAGACUUGUCAUUCUAAGGGCCCUUUUUCACUGACUCACAUUGUCUCCUCCCUCCCUGCCUUCCAAACUCAGCCUUUUCCUUUUUCCCUUUCCCACUGACAACAGCUGCACGACCCCCCCGCCCCCCCACGAGGUGAAAAUUCCCAAGAACCCCAUGUCUAACCUAACUCCCUCUCUAUGUCCUGUUGCUUGAGCCAUUCUCAUUAGGCUGCCUGUUCGGAGUUCAUUAUCUCCUAAUUUUUCAUCCAGGAAUUGAUGAAGAAUCACCUACUGCCUCUCCCACACACUGUUUAUUCUUUCAUUUGAUGAUAUCUGUUAAGUGCCCUGAGAUAUGUAACCUCCACUUCCCUCCCAUAUAAGUGAGAUUUCACGUUGAUUACUUCCUUGGCUUUCCUCAUCCCUUAUCCACAUAGCAUGUGUUCAAAAUAAUGAAUAUUAAUUUAAUGUUAAUAGAUAUGUGCUUUCCUGAAUUGUGAGGAUUAAAUGAAAUCAUGUAUAUAGGGAGGAAAAUCCAUUAGAAACCUCAAAAGCAGUUAUGUUUAUUUUUGCUAUUGUCACAUUGUUAGAGUCAGAAUUCUUUUAGCUGCAAGUGACAAAACCAACUCAAACUGGCUUAAGGACUUUAUUGGUUGUGAAUUUCCUACCACAGUGCAUUUUGAGAAAUGAAUAUAACAGCAGUCUUCAUAGAUGCCAUAUUCAUGGCAACUCUGUCCCCCGCCAACACCACACCCUGGAAAAAAACCAACUUUCUAUUGUUGGAAUGAGGUAACAUUUUCAGGAAAAGGGAACCAUUUUCUCACAGGAUAUAGAACAAAUUCAACCUUUUAUUAAAUCAAAAUGGAUUCUCUAAUGUUUAUACAUAUCAUAUAGGAUUUCAUCUCUUUCAAUCUUGGUUCAAAGGCCCAGACAGUACCAUUCCCUAGUAUUUAGUCCAUUUGCUCAUAAAGCAGAAGAGAAAAGCUACUUUGUUCCGAAGGGUGUUAGAUUUAGGAUUCCAAGGUUAUUUCAAAUUAAUGCCUGGAACUAGACUAUAAAAUGCAGGAAAGAUUCUAAGUUGUUCAAAGAUGAAAUAUCUUAACUUUCACCAAAAACUCUGUCUUCUGGGUAUUUUUUGUUUUUCUGCCUUUCCAGAUUUAUUUUAAAUACAACAUUUUUGCUGUUUACAUUUUUAAAAGUUACAUUUCAAAAUUGUUCAUAAUUGGACACUUUCAUAAAAUGUAGGCAAAUGCAGUUUUACUUUUUAAUGAAGGACAAGUCUGUUGAUAACAUUUUGAUUCUUAAAAUUUUUUUUAUCUUAUAAAAAUGAAACAAUGCAUUUAAAGUGUCUUCAGCUCUUAUGUUAAUACCAAAUUAUACAUUUUCUUAGCCCAUGUUCAGGAGAGACAAUAUAUCUUCCAAAUUAAGAGAAGCUGGCACCAUUUUUAAAACAAGGCCUUGAAUCUGCUGUGGUAUGUGCUGGUAGGAAUUUUGUAUGAAGCUGUUAUUGAAGUAGAUGACAUUAAGGUCAAAGGAAAAAAAAAACAGAAAAUAAUGUAAUCCUACAGAGCUGCUCUUAAGAUCUUGAGAGAAAAACCACGUAGGUAACAUCAAACACUAGUUGGAAUCUUUCCAAGAAGUAAUUAUCUGUGUGCUGUUUGUGGUGGUUGAUUAUGGGAACAAACCAAGGUUUAGCCAAUUCAGCAAACAUUUAUGGAGUGCCUGCAAUGUGCAUGUCACUGUUUUAAGGCCUGUGCCUACUGUAAAGGUGACCCACACAUGAUGCCUGCCUUGCAGGACUUGGAGUUCAGCGAUAAUAAGAGAUGCAUACCUGAAAAGCCUAUUUAAGACUCUUCCGGUUCUACAAAGAAGGCUUCUUGAAAGUGGUAGCUUUGAUUACUCUUUGGAUUUAUUUACAUUUAUCCUAUAAUCAGAAGGUAUACAAAACAGACUCACACAUAUAUAAAAUUAAUAGAUUAGAUAGCAUUUAAACAAAUAUUUCAGGUAGGUACUUCAAAUGCAUUUGACAUUUAUCAAAGAAAUGGUAAGUGCUGUCAUCCGUGGGUGGCUGGAUUAACAUGUGGGACUACUUAUCACCAAUUUUGUUAGGGAUCUUAGGGAAAUUCCUGGAUCUUAUAUUCACAAGCAAUUGUAUAAAUACUUCCCACAGCUCAGAGACCUAAUAGGAUGGGGUCUUAGAGAAACAUCUUUUGAGCCACAGACUUCUUUGUUACCAGAAGGAAAAUGAAAGAAGAAAUUUAAAUACCACUUGAAGAGAGGUAAAUAAAUGAGAAAUGGGGCUGAGAGGGCGGGUAUUUUUUUAAAAAUUC
Molecule: long non-coding RNA, 4402 nt
Filed under: Homo sapiens (human)
Lineage: Eukaryota; Metazoa; Chordata; Mammalia; Primates; Hominidae
Description: HSALNT0230652
Source: RNAcentral